CCUACGGGAGGCAGCAGUGGGGAAUAUUGCACAAUGGGCGCAAGCCUGAUGCAGCAACGCCGCGUGAGGGAUGACGGCCUUCGGGUUGUAAACCUCUUUUAGUAGGGAAGAAGCGAAAGUGACGGUACCUGCAGAAAAAGCACCGGCUAACUACGUGCCAGCAGCCGCGGUAAUACGUAGGGUGCGAGCGUUAAUCGGAAUUACUGGGCGUAAAGCGUGCGCAGGCGGUUUAGUAAGACAGGCGUGAAAUCCCCGGGCUCAACCUGGGAACUGCGCUUGUGACUGCUAAGCUAGAGUACGGCAGAGGGGGGUGGAAUUCCACGUGUAGCAGUGAAAUGCGUAGAGAUGUGGAGGAACACCAAUGGCGAAGGCAGCCCCCUGGGUCGAUACUGACGCUCAUGCACGAAAGCGUGGGUAGCAAACAGGAUUAGAUACCCUGGUAGUCCACGCCCUAAACGAUGUCAACUAGGUGUUGGGUGGGUAAAACCAUUUAGUACCGGAGCUAACGCGUGAAGUUGACCGCCUGGGGAGUACGGCCGCAAGGUUAAAACUCAAAGGAAUUGACGG
Molecule: ribosomal RNA, 567 nt
Filed under: uncultured beta proteobacterium
Lineage: Bacteria; Pseudomonadati; Pseudomonadota; Betaproteobacteria
Description: bacterial SSU rRNA
Rfam family: Bacterial small subunit ribosomal RNA
Source: RNAcentral